AAAGAGAGGUCUUCUUUGGGUUCCCAAUUAGAUGAAAUUUUAAUUUUGUAUGAUUUAUACGAUAAAAUUUUACACUUGAUAUAGAUAAAUAUCAAAAAGAAAGAUGUAAAUAUUUUAGUAGAUAAAAAUUUAAUUUUGUUAUAUUGACUAUUAAAAAUAAGAAUUGAUCCAUGCAAUAAAAUUUUACAAUUGAUGUGAGCAAAAAAUAAAAAAAUAUUGAGAGAGAAAAAAUAAAAAAAAAUAAGAGAGAGAGAGAGAGUGAGAGAGAGAGAAAAAAUAAAAAAAGAAAGUAACCUAAAAAAUCCAAAAAAAACUUGUGGGCCCCACAACCCGAAAAAAAAAAAAGGCCUUCUUUGGGUUUCCAAUUAGAUGAAAUUUUAAUUUUGUUAUCUUGACAAUUUAAAAAUAUGGUUGAUCUAUACGAUAAAAUUUUACAUUUGAUAUAGACAAAUAUCAAAAAGAAAAGAUAUUGAUAUUUAGUAGAUGAAAACUUAAUUUUAUUAUAUUGACUAUUAAAAAAUAGAAUUGUUAUAUGCGGUAAAAUUUAUUAAUUGUUGUAGGCAAAAAAUAAAAAAAGAGAGUGAGAGAGAAAAAAUAAAAAAAAGGUAAGAGAGAGAGAGAGUGAGAGAGAGGAAAAAAAAGAAAAAAAAUAAGAGAGAGAGAGAGAGAGAGAGAAAGGGGCCCCCACCGAAGCUCCCCACCCCCACUAAAUACGGGGAGGCUUCGAUUUAACCCUGCUUUCAUUAUAUUUACUAGUUUAGGGCCCGCACUUCGUGGCGAAUUAACAUCCGCAGCCUAAAAUCUCAGUUUGAUUUUCGAAUCAAAAUUUAAAUUUUGAUUUCAUAGUUGAAUUUUAAAUUAUCAUUCAAAUUUAAAAUUCAAAAUUGAUGAUUUUCAAAUGAAUAUCUUUCAGACUUAAAUUUUAAAUAUUAUUUUUAACUUUUAAAUGUCAAAUAUCAAAUUUAAAAAUUUUAGUUUUCAAAUAUUAGAUUUUAUAUUUUAUAUUUUAUAUUUUAAAUCUUAAAAUUUAAAAUUUGAAUAUAAAAUGUAAAAUUUAAAAUUUAGAAACUGCAAUUUAAAAUUUAAAAUUGUAAAAUUUUUAAAUUUAGUUUUAGUAAUUAACUAUAAUGUCCCUAGUGUUUUGCGGCCUGGGUGAUAUCAGCAUCUAAGGCUUGUCGGCACAUCUGGAGAGUGUCCAGAUGUGUCACUGUUGGGAUCAAAAAAUUUUAAAAUUUAACUUCAAAUUGAAAAUAUAGAAGGUAAAAAAAUGAAUGGGGAAUGAUUAUGCUUAUCUUAGGUGACCAACCAUGAAAGAGGAAAGAAAAUAAAAUUAUGUGGUUACCUUAUUUUUAAAUUUUUUUGAAUUAUUUUU
RNAcentral lists this long non-coding RNA (1372 nucleotides) under Ananas comosus (pineapple). RNAcentral describes it as "long non-coding RNA (ACOM_LNC001750)". The record is from RNAcentral. Lineage: Eukaryota; Viridiplantae; Streptophyta; Magnoliopsida; Poales; Bromeliaceae.